CAACCGAGAAGUGCAUCGGAAACUGGGAAACUUGAGUGCAGAAGAGGACAGUGGAACUCCAUGUGUAGCGGUGAAAUGCGUAGAUAUAUGGAAGAACACCAGUGGCGAAGGCGGCUGUCUGGUCUGUAACUGACGCUGAGGCUCGAAAGUAUGGGUAGCAAACAGGAUUAGAUACCCUGGUAGUCCAUACCGUAAACGAUGAAUGCUAAGUGUUGGAGGGUUUCCGCCCUUCAGUGCUGCAGCUAACGCAUUAAGCAUUCCGCCUGGGGAGUACGGCCGCAAGGCUGAAACUCAAAGGAAUUGACGGGGGCCCGCACAAGCGGUGGAGCAUGUGGUUUAAUUCGAAGCUACGCGAAGAACCUUACCAGGUCUUGACAUACUAUGCAAAUCUAAGAGAUUAGACGUUCCCUUCGGGGACAUGGAUACAGGUGGUGCAUGGUUGUCGUCAGCUCGUGUCGUGAGAUGUUGGGUUAAGUCCCGCAACGAGCGCAACCCUUAUUAUCAGUUGCCAGCAUUAAGUUGGGCACUCUGGUGAGACUGCCGGUGACAAACCGGAGGAAGGUGGGGAUGACGUCAAAUCAUCAUGCCCCUUAUGACCUGGGCUACACACGUGCUACAAUGGAUGGUACAACGAGUUGCGAACUCGCGAGAGUAAGCUAAUCUUUUAAAGCCAUUCUCAGUUCGGAUUGUAGGCUGCAACUCGCCUACAUGAAGUCGGAAUCGCUAGUAAUCGCGGAUCAGCAUGCCGCGGUGAAUACGUUCCCGGGCCUUGUACACACCGCCCGUCACACCAUGAGAGUUUGUAACACCCAAAGUCGGUGGGGUAACC
This 829-nucleotide ribosomal RNA is filed under the name Lactiplantibacillus plantarum. Its description in RNAcentral is "bacterial SSU rRNA". It matches the Rfam family "Bacterial small subunit ribosomal RNA", at positions 610 to 1440 of the family's 1533-position model. The record is from RNAcentral. Lineage: Bacteria; Bacillati; Bacillota; Bacilli; Lactobacillales; Lactobacillaceae.